UGAUAGCCAGCGGCAAGCGCCUCCG
This 25-nucleotide small RNA is filed under the name Bombyx mori (domestic silkworm). RNAcentral's name for it is "ovarian small RNA-32434". Lineage: Eukaryota; Metazoa; Arthropoda; Insecta; Lepidoptera; Bombycidae. The record is from RNAcentral.